Molecule: transfer RNA, 75 nt
Filed under: Sodalis praecaptivus
Lineage: Bacteria; Pseudomonadati; Pseudomonadota; Gammaproteobacteria; Enterobacterales; Bruguierivoracaceae
Description: tRNA-Gly
Rfam family: tRNA
About the family: Transfer RNA (tRNA) molecules are approximately 80 nucleotides in length. Their secondary structure includes four short double-helical elements and three loops (D, anti-codon, and T loops).
Source: RNAcentral
GCGGGAAUAGCUCAGUGGUAGACCCCAACCUUGCCAAGGUUGGGGUCGCGAGUUCGAGCCUCGUUUCCCGCUCCA